RNAcentral lists this ribosomal RNA (476 nucleotides) under uncultured organism. RNAcentral describes it as "partial 16S ribosomal RNA". It matches the Rfam family "Bacterial small subunit ribosomal RNA", at positions 332 to 799 of the family's 1533-position model. The record is from RNAcentral.
UACACUCCUACGGGAGGCAGCAGUGGGGAAUUUUGGACAAUGGGCGAAAGCCUGAUCCAGCAAUGCCGCGUGAGUGAAGAAGGCCUUCGGGUUGUAAAGCUCUUUUGUCAGGGAAGAAACGGUGAAAGCUAAUAUCUUUUGCUAAUGACGGUACCUGAAGAAUAAGCACCGGCUAACUACGUGCCAGCAGCCGCGGUAAUACGUAGGGUGCAAGCGUUAAUCGGAAUUACUGGGCGUAAAGCGUGCGCAGGCGGUUUUGUAAGUCUGAUGUGAAAUCCCCGGGCUCAACCUGGGAAUUGCAUUGGAGACUGCAAGGCUAGAAUCUGGCAGAGGGGGGUAGAAUUCCACGUGUAGCAGUGAAAUGCGUAGAUAUGUGGAGGAACACCGAUGGCGAAGGCAGCCCCCUGGGUCAAGAUGGACGCUCAUGCACGAAAGCGUGGGGAGCAAACAGGAUUAGAUACCCCGGUAGUCCCAUG